RNAcentral lists this ribosomal RNA (253 nucleotides) under uncultured bacterium. Its description in RNAcentral is "partial 16S ribosomal RNA". It matches the Rfam family "Bacterial small subunit ribosomal RNA", at positions 524 to 776 of the family's 1533-position model. The record is from RNAcentral.
UACGAACUGUGCGAACGUUAUUCGGAAUCACUGGGCUUACAGGGUGCGUAGGCGGCUCAACAAGUCAGGUGUGAAAGCCCCCGGCUCAACCGGGGAACUGCGCUUGAAACUGUUAGGCUCGAGUCAGCUAGAGGUACACGGAACUUCCAGUGGAGCGGUGAAAUGUGUUGAUAUUGGAAGGAACACCGGAGGCGAAAGCGGUGUACUGGGGCUGGUCUGACGCUGAGGCACGAAAGCCAGGGGAGCGAACGGG